AUGUUAGUUUCAAGUUUUAUCCUUGUUGAGUACAUGAAGGUGGAACAUGAGGAAGGGUGGGAGAAGAUUAGAUAUCGUUUCAUUUUCUUGCAAGGAGAGGAUGGUUACGAAGAAAUGGCAAGAAAUGGAGAGAGAAUCAGGUUUAUUACUGUAUGGAUGGAAACCACAUGCCAGCUUGUCCAACAUAUUUCUACAUUGAGUCAAUUAUUCGACCGCUAUGUUUUUUUUAUUCCAUGGCAAUGCAUGGUCAUUCAACUAUUCAAAUUUACAGGUUGUUUAUCCACUUUUUUCAAGCUAUUUACAUAUUUGUCACUUGUCAGCAAGUUUGCAUAUGAUGCUAGGAAAUGA
This 348-nucleotide ribosomal RNA is filed under the name Triticum aestivum (bread wheat). Its description in RNAcentral is "partial small subunit ribosomal RNA". The record is from RNAcentral. Lineage: Eukaryota; Viridiplantae; Streptophyta; Magnoliopsida; Poales; Poaceae.